Molecule: long non-coding RNA, 2898 nt
Organism: Aphis gossypii (cotton aphid)
Lineage: Eukaryota; Metazoa; Arthropoda; Insecta; Hemiptera; Aphididae
Exons: 5
Source: RefSeq, a predicted model, not a curated record
CACCAAUUUUGUUUUAUUUUUCUCGACAUUAGUAUUUGUGGUUUUGUGAUUAAUCAUACAUAAUAUUAUAAUACUAUAUUGUCUCAUUCUCAGCGUUGUAUAUUAUCAAGUGAUUAUAAAUUCAAUCAUACCUAUCUACUUUGUGGGUACAUAACAUAGAAAAAGAAUAAGAAAAUUAUUUAAAAAUUCAUCAACUAUAUUGUUAAAUAAAGUUAAGCCAUCUUUGCAUUUAACAAAACACUCAUAAAUUUCCUCGAUUUGUUCUAAAUAGGUGAAGUUAGUAACUAACAUGAUGCAUUUAGUAAUCACUAGACUUCACGUUGACGAUUAAGAUAUUUAAUUAGGUAUAAGUUACCUCCAGAUAACAAUCAAUUUCCUGUUUUUGGAAGCUUUGCCAAAAAGUUAACUGAUAAAAGUUUAUGGAGUUGAAGAAGUAUCAGAGUUAAUGAAUGGUCAUUGGGAUUUGACUCUUAUCUAAUAAUCUCGAAGAAUUAUUGAAAAGUUUAUUUUGUUUUUUUUGACAUUUACCUCGCUUCCAAUACUACCGUACGUCGAUAAUGAUAAAAACAAUAAUAAUAAUAAUAUUAAUGAUCGCAUUAAGACGAAUUUGAGUUGUGUGUUCAGAACGUACUAUUAUUCCGUGAUUUAACAAUGAUAUACUUUAUCAAUGGUAAGUAUAUCAAUCUAUUGUUUACUCAAUAAAUUUAUUUCACGAUAUUUUUGUAAUAACAAAUGUAAUUUAAAAUUGGAAUUACGAUUGACAGUAAACAAAUAUUGAUACAUUUCAAUAUAGAUAUUAAAAAAAAUUUAAUUUUAAUCAUAUUAAAAAACGUUAAUUAUUUCAACAAGGCGAAGGCCAAUUGUAACUUUUAAGGGGUGUAACCGCACCCUCCCCCACAACUAAAUGUUCCCCUGUUUAUAGGUAAUAAUAUUAUCUAAGGCAACUCGUGAUCUCUUAUUGAUUUUUUAAUUUUGAAAUGAGUUAUGAGCAUUUAAUGUUUUAAUAUUUUACAUAACUAUAACUCAUUUAAAAAUUAAAAGAUCAAUAAAAACCUACUAGAUGCCCUAGAUAAUAUUACCUUUAAUUUUGAUAAUAAGUAAAUUGACUUUAAUAUUUAAGCCAACAGCAUAAUUGCAUAAAAUUGAUUCCACUGAACGUAACGUUGCCAUGUUUUACGGUAGUAAGCCGGAGACAACACUUGCGGAUAUAUCAUCCUUUUAGUUAAUUAUAGCAAACUCAAAUUAAUAAUUGUUUCUACCAUUUAAAAAUAAAUUAAAAUUUAAUUAAAAUUUAACUUAUGGUAAAACUAUUUAUUCAAAAAUUUCAUAUUAUCGAUCAAUUAUCAUUAAAAAAAAAAAAAAACACGAGUACAAUAACAUAAAAUACCCCGUAUAUAAUAGUAUACGAGAAACAUAUUAUAUAUAUAACAAUGUCAAUCGUGGUAUUAAACCACAGAAAAUCAUUAAAAUUAAUAGUUUAAUAAAUAUAAUUUUUUGACUUAAAAAGUUUUAGUUGAGGUUGGUUUGACCACUUCCCCGCCACACACACACACACACACACACACACUCCACUAAAUACGACUCAAAAUCGAUCGUUUUGUUUGCAAUAAAUAAUAAGACAUUCAGCCAGCAGUCCUACAGUAGUUGUCAUCGUCUCGAUACUCGAAACUAUAUUUUUGGUAGCACUGGCAUAGCUGCAAAAGCUAAAAGGUCUUAGCUACGGUGUUCCGAUCGUCGAACCCUGGCGGCCGAAAUAUUCCAGGCAGCGGCGGCAACUAAUAUUGUCAAUUCCUUGUAGACAAGCCUUGCGGGUCGGAGUAGUCGAACGUGUAAACGUACGAGAUACGAAUAGACGACCGUGAAGCUGGUCUUGUUAUUGAUUUCACUUUAGGUAAACAGUCGUACAAUUAUACAAAACCAUGAAUACUGACAGAAUAUUAAUUUUCGUGUUUUUAACCAUGAUCGCCGUAUCUUUUUUGUUGAGCCUUGGCCAUUUGCCAACAAAUCUCGAACAGAAUAGCUCUAUGAUUAUAUCCAGCGUUUUUAGUCGGCUGCAAAUCGUUGGCAUUACAUUUUAUUCAAUGAUGCGAGUUUAACGACUAAUAGUCCAAUAGUCCAAUAUUUCGAGUUUCCCCUUAAUUACCUACCUACAGUCCCAUGUAAAGUUUGUCUAUAUUAUCCCUCGAUUUUGAAUAAAAAUGGUAGUAACCUAACGUGAAACAUAUUGAAGCAAUGUCGUACCGCGUUUCCACUAUUAUCUAAUGACGUCAUAAGGUACCUGAAUAAAAAAGGUGCUUAAUUUAAUAAUAUAAAAAAAUAGGGUGUAUUGAUAAAGUCAAUUGAUACAUUUACAUCAUUCACAAUUUACCCAACAAAACAAACAUUAUUGAAAAAACAUAUAAGCUGUUAGUAAAGAUGAUGGUUCAACGGAGUGCUGUAGUUUCAGUUCAAGACGGAGAGAUGAAAUACUACAGGAAAACGUCUUUGGAAAUUAAAAUUGAGUCAUUAGAAAAAAUUCAUAAGAUUUGGAAGUUGAAAACCUUCCUCUUCUCUACUGAAGGAAACGACAAUGAACAAAUUGAUACAAAAUAAAGUAUAACAGAGCUUUGUAUUUUACUUGAUAGUAAAAUCAAAAAACAUUGCUUAACUAUCUCAAAUGGACUACACACAACUAGUAGUAUACUAUAAAUGUUACAGUAUUAUAAAUCCUUAUUUCAAAACUUGCUGUACUUAAUGAUGAUUUAUAAAUAGAAAACGUUAAAACUGUGAAUUAACAUGAUGUAUUUAAAAAUACCCAAGUACCUACCAUAUUGAAUGUAUACUUAAAAUUUAAGUAAUUUACUUUUCAUUACAUUUAAGUUAUUUAUAGGUUAUUAUUCAUAAAAUGAAGCCAAAAAU